Molecule: non-coding RNA, 120 nt
Organism: Acanthosepion pharaonis
Lineage: Eukaryota; Metazoa; Mollusca; Cephalopoda; Sepiida; Sepiidae
Source: the annotation of a GenBank genome assembly
UUACGGUCAAAUCACGCUGAAAACACCGGUUCUCGUUCGAUCACCGAAGUCGUAAGCAUCGUAGAGCCAGGUCAGUACUUAGAUGGGGGGUUACCGCUUGGGAACACCUGGUACUGUAAG